Molecule: ribosomal RNA, 301 nt
Filed under: uncultured bacterium
Lineage: Bacteria
Description: partial 16S ribosomal RNA
Rfam family: Bacterial small subunit ribosomal RNA
Source: RNAcentral
CAGCAGCCGCGGUAAUACGUAGGGUGCAAGCGUUAAUCGGAAUUACUGGGCGUAAAGCGUGCGCAGGCGGUUUGUUAAGACAGAUGUGAAAUCCCCGGGCUCAACCUGGGAACUGCAUUUGUGACUGGCAGGCUAGAGUAUGGCAGAGGGGGGUGGAAUUCCGCGUGUAGCAGUGAAAUGCGUAGAUAUGCGGAGAAACACCGAUGGCGAAGGCAGCCCCCUGGGCCAAUACUGACGCUCAUGCACGAAAGCGUGGGGAGCAAACAGGAUUAGAUACCCCCGUAGUCCCUGUCUCUUAUAC